Molecule: small nuclear RNA, 23 nt
Filed under: Arabidopsis thaliana (thale cress)
Lineage: Eukaryota; Viridiplantae; Streptophyta; Magnoliopsida; Brassicales; Brassicaceae
Description: snRNA_10875
Source: RNAcentral
UUUUCUUUAUAGGUUUUUAAACC